AGGUCAUGAUGUGGGCAAUUCCUUAGCAAGCUCUUGUACCUCUCCCAAGCUUCAUAUAGUGACUCUCCUGCUUGUUGUUAAAAGUUAGCAAUGGCUUUCUUGAGCUU
Molecule: small nucleolar RNA, 107 nt
Organism: Lactuca sativa (garden lettuce)
Lineage: Eukaryota; Viridiplantae; Streptophyta; Magnoliopsida; Asterales; Asteraceae
Source: RefSeq, a predicted model, not a curated record